AUGAGGGAACAGAGAGGACUAGGGAAGCAGAGUCUAGGGAACGGCAGGCAGUGGCGUCGCGGCAGGGCCCGCGGGGUCGCCUGUCCUCCGUCCAAGAGGCCGGAGCGUCAGCGUGCAGUUUUCUAAAAAGCAGUUGGGUGGGCAUUGAGGGCUAUAUUUAAAUAAAAGGACUUACUUGACUUUAUUAUGUAAUUAAAAAAAAUCAGUGUAUACAGGAAAACUGCGGGACCAGCAAACCCCAGCAAAGGCUCUGGUCUGAGGCUCUCCUGGGUUCCUGUCUUCAUUCUCCUGACCACUUGUGCCCACCAUUUCUAGGACACUUCCUUGAGGUGUAAAGUAUUUGUCUGAACGUCUGUUUUGUACAGAAAACAAGAUCUCUUAGAGGAAAGAACAUGAACCAUCCCAUCCUAGCCUUCGCAAGUCGGUAAACUUUGGCUGUGGUGCCUUAUAGUAACCAUGUCCACCAUCUCACGACUCUUCCUGACAUCAAGGAGCCCUUUUAAAGUAUGUAUUGUCCACUGUGAUUUAGUGUCCACUGUGAUUCCUGCCUGAAGAAUACAGCAUUUCAAGGAUGAAAAGCUACAGCGGAUGUACUCAAUGUAAUACUCAAUGACAUAAUGAAGAAGUGAUUAGAAUUUUAACACUGUUUAAUAAUUAUAUAGCUUGAAAUUAUAUUUCAACACUCUUUGUAAAUCUCUUUCUGUUAACAUUCUGAAUUCAGUUAUUAUCCUUUUGGUACAUUUGAAUUUCUGCAUAGCAUUGGUGGCUGUAGAGUCCUCUGCAAGUCAGCACAACAUAGACUCUAGUCUUCUACAUUCCCAUUGAGUUACAUAGCUAGUAGAAUUGCUGCUAAAGGACAGAAAACGUUUAAUGUCAAUGAAGUUCUUAGGUUUGUGUGUGUGUAUUAAAUACAGGCACAUAACCAUAUUUUUAUAAUCCUGUGACAUAGUAAACUAUGAAAAUAACAAACAAUACUUUUUUCUCCCUCCACCCUAUUGGGUUGGCACCAAAUCGUAUUUGGUAACUAAACUUGACUAUGCUAACAUUACCAUUGAUAUUCUUAUUUAUCCCACUUAGUGUGAAUAUUGAGAAACAAUGUGUUAAAUUAUAAAGUAUGGAUGGAAAGUUUAUGUAAUAUAUGCUAUAUGCAAAAUCCAUUAACCGAGGUUUCAGAUAAGAGAUUGUAGAACUAUUAUUUUGUUUUUUUCUGAUUUAAUGUGAUCAUUAUUUUCCUAUUUUUCACCAACUCUAAAAGGUAUAUAUAUAUAUAUAUAUUAAAUAUACAUAUUUAAUAUCUACACAUUUUUGUGAAAUAAAACCUGAUGUUGUUGACCUUAUUUGUUACUUUUAUUGGUUGACUGAUUUUAUUGAUAUUUAUGAGACUUAAUAACAAAUUCAUUUUAGAAAUUACUAAAUACUUUCAAAUAA
This is a long non-coding RNA of Canis lupus familiaris (dog), 1428 nucleotides long. RefSeq lists it as uncharacterized. Lineage: Eukaryota; Metazoa; Chordata; Mammalia; Carnivora; Canidae. The record is from RefSeq and is a predicted model, not a curated record. The transcript is spliced from 6 exons.